GUGUACACACAGACACGGAUUCUGCAGACUGAUCCUGACGCUCUGCUGUCGUGAUCAAGCAGAACAUAUGCUGUAAGAAGAGCAGUAUAGUUCUCCGAUCAAUUAAUCAGUAAAAAUCAUUCUCAUGCAAAGAAGACUUCACUGGGAAAAUGAUAAUGGAAAUACAACUACCAGGGAAACAAGGUCCAGGUGCCAUGUGGAAAAUGAUUGAUGUUCCAAGGAUGGGAGAAGGAUGCAAACUGGGAACCGUCCAAGUUGUAAGCAUCUAGAAAUCAAGGGAAAAUACCUACUU
Long non-coding RNA from Onychomys torridus (southern grasshopper mouse), 292 nucleotides. RefSeq lists it as uncharacterized. The transcript has 3 exons. Lineage: Eukaryota; Metazoa; Chordata; Mammalia; Rodentia; Cricetidae. The record is from RefSeq and is a predicted model, not a curated record.